CCUACGGGAGACAGCAGUGAGGAAUAUUGGUCAAUGGACGCGAGUCUGAACCAGCCAAGUAGCGUGAAGGAUGACUGCCCUACGGGUUGUAAACUUCUUUUAUAUGGGAAUAAAGUGAGGCACGUGUGCCUUUUUGUAUGUACUUUAUGAAUAAGGAUCGGCUAACUCCGUGCCAGCAGCCGCGGUAAUACGGAGGAGCCGAGCGUUAUCCGGAUUUAUUGGGUUUAAAGGGAGCGUAGAUGGGUUGUUAAGUCAGUUGUGAAAGUUUGCGGCUCAACCGUAAAAUUGCAGUUGAAACUGGCAGCCUUGAGUACAGUUGAGGUAGGCGGAAUUCGUGGUGUAGCGGUGAAAUGCUUAGAUAUCACGAAGAACUCCGAUUGCGAAGGCAGGUUACCAAACUGCAACUGACAUUGAGGCUCGAAAGUGUGGGUAUCAAACAGGAUUAGAUACCCGGGUAGUC
Molecule: ribosomal RNA, 460 nt
Filed under: uncultured bacterium
Lineage: Bacteria
Description: partial 16S ribosomal RNA
Rfam family: Bacterial small subunit ribosomal RNA
Source: RNAcentral